This is a long non-coding RNA of Columba livia (rock pigeon), 347 nucleotides long. RefSeq lists it as uncharacterized. The transcript is spliced from 3 exons. Lineage: Eukaryota; Metazoa; Chordata; Aves; Columbiformes; Columbidae. The record is from RefSeq and is a predicted model, not a curated record.
CUCCGAUUCCCUCAUUUGAAGGGCAAGUGAAAUAACUGAUCCUCACCUCCGGGGCUGUGUGCAGUGGGCAAUGAUAUUAUCUACCCGGCAGCUGGAGAUUUUUCUGGAGAUGAUCCAAGCAGACUUCAUACAGAUCUGGCCCGCCCAAUACAUCAGCAGUCCUGAAGAAACAGAUUAUUUUCUAUUUCACAUUGGAUCAAUUUCUGUUUUGAAAAUAUUGAUUUUCUCAUCAUGUAAGAGUCCAUAUGCCAAGGAAGUUCCCUAUGAAGAACUACAGUUACAGCUCUUUCUGAUAAUCAGACCAUCAGACAUUUGAGACUCAUACAGAUCCACUCUCUUGGCUACUU